Molecule: ribosomal RNA, 497 nt
Filed under: uncultured bacterium
Lineage: Bacteria
Description: partial 16S ribosomal RNA
Rfam family: Bacterial small subunit ribosomal RNA
Source: RNAcentral
GAUGAACGCUGGCGGCGUGCCUAAUACAUGCAAGUCGAGCGAACAGACGAGGAGCUUGCUCCUCUGACGUUAGCGGCGGACGGGUGAGUAACACGUGGAUAACCUACCUAUAAGACUGGGAUAACUUCGGGAAACCGGAGCUAAUACCGGAUAAUAUAUUGAACCGCAUGGUUCAAUAGUGAAAGACGGUUUUGCUGUCACUUAUAGAUGGAUCCGCGCCGCAUUAGCUAGUUGGUAAGGUAACGGCUUACCAAGGCAACGAUGCGUAGCCGACCUGAGAGGGUGGUCGGCCACACGAGAACUGAGACACGGUCCAGACGCCUACGGGAGGCAGCAGUAGGGAAUCGUCCGCAAUGGGCGAAAGCCUGACGGAGCAACGCCGCGUGAGUGAUGAAGGUCUUCGGAUCGUAAAACUCUGUUAUUAGGGAAGAACAAAUGUGUAAGUAACUAUGCACGUCUUGACGGUACCUAAUCAGAAAGCCACGGCUAACUACGUG